This 253-nucleotide ribosomal RNA is filed under the name uncultured bacterium. Its description in RNAcentral is "partial 16S ribosomal RNA". It matches the Rfam family "Bacterial small subunit ribosomal RNA", at positions 524 to 776 of the family's 1533-position model. The record is from RNAcentral.
UACGGAGGGUGCAAGCGUUAAUCGGAAUUACUGGGCGUAAAGCGCGCGUAGGCGGUUUUUUAAGUCGGAUGUGAAAGCCCCGGGCUCAACCUGGGAACUGCAUCCGAUACUGGAAGACUAGAAUGCGGGAGAGGGAGGUAGAAUUCCAUGUGUAGCAGUGAAAUGCGUAGAUAUAUGGAGGAAUACCAGUGGCGAAGGCGGCCUCCUGGCUCGACAUUGACGCUGAGGUGCGAAAGCGUGGGGAGCAAACGGC